This 76-nucleotide transfer RNA is filed under the name Oxalobacteraceae bacterium. Its description in RNAcentral is "tRNA-Thr". It matches the Rfam family "tRNA". Rfam says of the family: Transfer RNA (tRNA) molecules are approximately 80 nucleotides in length. Their secondary structure includes four short double-helical elements and three loops (D, anti-codon, and T loops). Further hydrogen bonds mediate the characteristic L-shaped molecular structure. tRNAs have two regions of fundamental functional importance: the anti-codon, which is responsible for specific mRNA codon recognition, and the 3' end, to which the tRNAs corresponding amino acid is attached (by aminoacyl-tRNA synthetases). tRNAs cope with the degeneracy of the genetic code in two manners: having more than one tRNA (with a specific anti-codon) for a particular amino acid; and 'wobble' base-pairing, i.e. permitting non-standard base-pairing at the 3rd anti-codon position. The record is from RNAcentral. Lineage: Bacteria; Pseudomonadati; Pseudomonadota; Betaproteobacteria; Burkholderiales; Oxalobacteraceae.
GCCGGCUUAGCUCAGUUGGUAGAGCACGUGAUUUGUAAUCACGGGGUCACAGGUUCGAGUCCUGUAGCCGGCACCA